Molecule: ribosomal RNA, 408 nt
Filed under: uncultured bacterium
Lineage: Bacteria
Description: partial 16S ribosomal RNA
Rfam family: Bacterial small subunit ribosomal RNA
Source: RNAcentral
AUUGAACGCUGGCGGCAGGCCUAACACAUGCAAGUCGAGCGGAGCGGCGGACGGGUGAGUAAUACGUGAGUAACCUGCCCUCCUUUUUGGGAUAAGCCUUGGAAACGGGGUCUAAUACCGGAUAAAGGGGGAUGGUCUCGCGGCCUAUCAGCUUGUUGGUGGGGUGAUGGCCUACCAAGGCGGUGACUGGUAGCCGGCCUGAGCGGUUGACCGUCCACAUUGGGACUGGUAUACGUCCCAGAUGCCUACGGGAGUCAGCAGUGGGGGAUAAUGCACAAUGGCCGAAAUCCUUAAGCAGCGACGCCGCGUGGGGGAGGAAGGCUUUCGGGUUGUAAACCUCUUUCGCUAUCGAAAGGGUAGGUGGAGAAGAAGCGCCGGCUAACUACGUGCCAGCCGCCGCGGUAAUUC